Molecule: long non-coding RNA, 539 nt
Filed under: Salvia miltiorrhiza (redroot sage)
Lineage: Eukaryota; Viridiplantae; Streptophyta; Magnoliopsida; Lamiales; Lamiaceae
Description: long non-coding RNA (SMIL_LNC001180)
Source: RNAcentral
GGCUCGCAGCAUGAACGGACAAUCGUUGCCAUGCUUGCAAACAAACCACAAACAAGUCGUACUGGAACGAUCCACGGCGUACUCCACGUGAUUCUCCAUAUGAUACAGGCCAACAGCGAUCGCCAAAUUAUCCUUCGACCGGAAUAGAGCCCCCACUGAUAAUAUCCCGCUCUCCAAUACGUUAGAAUCCUCUCAACCUAAUGCUGACGCAUCGUCAAAAUCGAGGACUGAAACCCCCAGUCACGUGCCUCAAGCUGCUGAACUCCACCACGAGGCUCGAUAUCGGGCUGAUAAUCCGAUGUGAAAUUCUGAGGCCCUGUCUGUCUCCACGCUUCCUAUUCAGUCGACAUUGAAUCCAAUAUCUCUCUGCGUAGUAUCGCCUCUUCUUCCUCAUCCGAAGACUCGGACUCGUCUUCCUCCUCCUGCGACGAUGAAUCAUCCCUACUUCUUCCAACGUCUGUCUCGAUAGGAAACACAGUAGAACGUUGUCUCUCAUAAUAUACCCGCUCCUGAGUCUGAGGAACCGGAGCCGCAGAUCG